RNAcentral lists this ribosomal RNA (1419 nucleotides) under metagenome. Its description in RNAcentral is "bacterial LSU rRNA". It matches the Rfam family "Bacterial large subunit ribosomal RNA", at positions 1369 to 2912 of the family's 2925-position model. The record is from RNAcentral.
UCAGCGUAGGGUGAGCCGGAUCCUAAGGUGAGGCCGAAAGGCGUAACCGAUGGCAAGCAGGUUAAUAUUCCUGCGCCUGUGGAAAGUGACGGAGGCCGAAAGCUGUUUCCUCUUAACGGAUUGAGGGGGCGGCCUGGGACUCCCUGGAAAUAACUUCCACUUAUAGUCCGUACCCGAAACCGACACUGGUGGUCAGGUAGAGUAUACCAAGGCGCUUGAGAGAAGGAUGUUGAAGGAACUCGGCAAAUUACCUCUGUAACUUCGGGAAAAAGAGGCCCAGCCGAUACGCAAGUAACGGUUGGGGACACAAAAUUGGGGGUGGCGACUGUUUAUCAAAAACACAGGGCUCUGCUAAGUCGUUGAAGACGACGUAUAGGGUCUGACGCCUGCCCGGUGCCGGAAGGUUAAAAGGAGGAGUGCAAGCUCUGAAUUGAAGCCCCGGUAAACGGCGGCCGUAACGAUAACGGUCCUAAGGUAGCGAAACUCCUUGUCGGGUAAGUUCCGACCUGCAUGAAUGGCGUAACGACUUCCCCACUGUCUCCAACAUCUCCUCAGCGAAGUUGAAUUCCCCGUGAAGAUGCGGGGUACCCGCGGCUAGACGGAAAGACCCUAUGAACCUUUACUAUAACUUUGCAGUGGCAUUAGAAAUGACGUGUGUAGCAUAGUUGGGACACUUUGAAACCUGGGCGCCAGCCCGGGCGGAGUGGAAAUGUGAAAUACCAACCUUGUUGUUUCUGAUGUCUAACCGGGACAGUUAUCCUGUUUCGGGACCCUGCAUGGCGGGUAGUUUGACUGGGGCGGUCGCCUCCUAAAUUGUAACGGAGGCGUGCAAAGGUCAGCUCAAUCUGGUCGGAAAUCAGAUUUAGAGUGCAUUGGCAUAAGCUGGCCUGACUGCAAGGCUGACAAGUCGAGCAGAGACGAAAGUCGGUCAAAGUGAUCCGGUGGUUUCCGUAUGGAAGGGCCAUCGCUCAACGAAUAAAAGGUACUCUAGGGAUAACAGGCUGAUACUGCCCAAGCGUCCACAGCGACGGCAGUGUUUGGCACCUCGAUGUCGGCUCAUCUCAUCCUGGGGCUGGAGCAGGUCCCAAGGGUAUGGCUGUUCGCCAUUUAAAGAGGUACGUGAGCUGGGUUCAGAACGUCGUGAGACAGUUCGGUCCCUAUCUACCGUGGGUGUUGGAAUAUUGAGAGGAGCCGUCCCUAGUACGAGAGGACCGGGAUGGACGUAGCUCUGGUAGACCUGUUGUCGUGCCAACGGCAUAGCAGGAUAGCUAACUACGGACGAGAUAAACGCUGAAAGCAUCUAAGCGUGAAACUUACCUCGAAACAAGUAUUCCCCAUAGAGUCGUCGUAGACUACGACGUUGAUAGGCCGGGUGUGGAAGAGCAGUAAUGCUUGAAGCUGACCGGUACUAAUACUCAA